CAGUAGCCGCGGGAAAACGGAGGGGGCUAGCGUUGUUCGGCAUUACUGGGCGUAAAGCGCACGUAGGCGGCUUUGUAAGUUAGAGGUGAAAGCCUGGGGCUCAACUCCAGAAUUGCCUUUAAGACUGCAUCGCUUGAACGUCGGAGAGGUGAGUGGAAUUCCGAGUGUAGAGGUGAAAUUCGUAGAUAUUCGGAAGAACACCAGUGGCGAAGGCGGCUCACUGGACGACUGUUGACGCUGAGGUGCGAAAGCGUGGGGAGCAAACAGGAUUAGAUACCCCUGUAGUCCCUGUCUCUUAUAC
RNAcentral lists this ribosomal RNA (301 nucleotides) under uncultured bacterium. Its description in RNAcentral is "partial 16S ribosomal RNA". It matches the Rfam family "Bacterial small subunit ribosomal RNA", at positions 509 to 807 of the family's 1533-position model. The record is from RNAcentral.